RNAcentral lists this ribosomal RNA (253 nucleotides) under uncultured bacterium. RNAcentral's name for it is "partial 16S ribosomal RNA". It matches the Rfam family "Bacterial small subunit ribosomal RNA", at positions 524 to 776 of the family's 1533-position model. The record is from RNAcentral.
GACGAACCGUGCGAACGUUGUUCGGAUUCACUGGGCUUAAAGGGCGCGUAGGCGGGUCAGCGAGUCGGGGGUGAAAUCCCACGGCCCAACCGUGGAAGAGCUUUCGAUACUGCUGGCCUUGAGGGAGGUAGGGGCGUGUGGAACUUCCGGUGGAGCGGUGAAAUGCGUAGAUAUGCGGAGGAACACCGAUGGCGAAGGCAAUCCCCUGGACCUGUACUGACGCUCAUGCACGAAAGCGUGGGGAGCAAACAGG